AGCUGACUGAUGCCGCCUCACUGUUCACAUCUCUUCUCAUGUGUCACUUUGCCAAGAAAGUGUCCCCUUACCUACUCAACUCAUCACGUCCCCCUACCGUAGCUCACAUAACACCACGUACCUCUCGCUUACAGCCUUAAUCACAUUUCACAUCCAGUUUUUGUCCAGCUAUUUCACACCUCCUUCUCUGGGAAGACUUCACUGAGAAUCCAAGCAAUUUCUGGAUCCCUUCUCUCCCCUGAACUUGUAAAGUGUUUAACAAGACAUAUGCGGAACUGCCGUAAGACCUCUCGAUGGCUGGUAUUGCUCCAUGUUGUGGGUCAGUUUGAGGUCUGUCCAACACAUCAUACUGUGGAGCCCAAUUGUGAGGCUGCAGGUCCCUGUCUUCUCACAAAGUUCACUGAAACAUAACAGUAGAGCCCAACCACACAAGCCCAAUUAAGGCCUCUGCAACUC
Orcinus orca (killer whale) is the source of this 456-nucleotide long non-coding RNA. RefSeq lists it as uncharacterized. The transcript has 3 exons. NCBI's taxonomy places the organism in Eukaryota, Metazoa, Chordata, Mammalia, Artiodactyla, Delphinidae. The record is from RefSeq and is a predicted model, not a curated record.